CUUGGUUCUCGCAUCGAUGAAGAACGCAGCGAAAUGCGAUAAGUAGUGUGAAUUGCAGAAUUCAGUGAAUCAUCGAAUCUUUGAACGCACAUUGCGCCUCCUGGUAUUCCGGGAGGCAUGCCUGUUCGAGCGUCAUUAAAACCCACUCAGAUUCCCU
Molecule: ribosomal RNA, 157 nt
Filed under: Desmazierella acicola
Lineage: Eukaryota; Fungi; Ascomycota; Pezizomycetes; Pezizales; Sarcoscyphaceae
Description: 5.8S ribosomal RNA
Rfam family: 5.8S ribosomal RNA (bases 1-135)
About the family: 5.8S ribosomal RNA (5.8S rRNA) is a component of the large subunit of the eukaryotic ribosome. It is transcribed by RNA polymerase I as part of the 45S precursor that also contains 18S and 28S rRNA.
Source: RNAcentral